ACGAACGCUGGCGGCAUGCCUAACCCAUGCAAGUCGCACGCGACCUUCGGGUCUAGUGGCGCACGGGUGCGUAACGCGUGGGAACCUGCCCUUAGGUUCGGAAUAACUCCCCGAAAGGGGUGCUAAUACCGGAUAAUGUCUUCGGACCAAAGAUUUAUCGCCUUUGGAUGGGCCCGCGUUGGAUUAGCUAGUUUGUAGGGUAAAAGCCUACCAAGGCGACGAUCCAUAGCUGGUCUGAGAGGAUGAUCAGCCACACUGGGACUGAGACACGGCCCAGACUCCUACGGGAGGCAGCAGUGGGGAAUAUUGGACAAUGGGCGAAAGCCUGAUCCAGCAAUGCCGCGUGAGUGAUGAAGGCCUUAGGGUUGUAAAGCUCUUUUACCCGGGAUGAUAAUGACAGUACCGGGAGAAUAAGCUCCGGCUAACUCCGUG
RNAcentral lists this ribosomal RNA (432 nucleotides) under uncultured bacterium. RNAcentral describes it as "partial 16S ribosomal RNA". It matches the Rfam family "Bacterial small subunit ribosomal RNA", at positions 29 to 507 of the family's 1533-position model. The record is from RNAcentral.